CAUUUGAUGUUGAUUCGGGCCCCUCUCAGUGCUGCAGAGCCCUCCUAAGAGAACUUCUCCUACUUCUCUUAGCCCCACACCCAGCCUGCCUUGGUUGGAGGAGAAGGAAGCGCAAACGCAGAUACUACCUGCAUGGUCCUGCCAGGAGGCCCCACCCUGGCCCUGGGGCCUUCUGUUUGCCUGUCACUCGCUGUCGAUGCUACCUUCUCUCACCAGUGCUUUGGGUCCUUCCCCGCACAGGGCCCAGCAUAGCCCUUCUCUUCCACCUAGCAGAUUCCAGCACAUUCUUUUCUUUUUUUUUUUUUUUUUUUGUCUUGAGACGGAGUCUCAGUUGUUGCCCAUGUUAGAGUGCCGUGGCAUGAUGUCAGCUCACUGCAACCUCCUCCUUCUGGGUCCAAGAGAUUGUUUUGCCUCAGCCUCCCGAGUAGCUGCGAUUACAGGCACACGCCACCAUGCCUGGCUAAUUUUUGUAUUUUUAGUAGAGAUGGGGUUUCACCAUGUUAGCCAGGCUGGUCUCGAACUCCUGACAUUGUGAUCCACCUGCCUGGCUUCCCAAAGCACUGGGAUUACAGGCAUGAGCCUCCGCAUCUGGCCUCCAGCACAUUCUUUAGCUCUUGACUUGGAUGACUCUUGACCUGGGAGGCUGCCUCGACACGUGGAGAUUGGUGUCUCCUGUUAGUUUCUAUGCCUCUUUUCCUCAUGAAACAUUAGUCAUGAUGGUAUUUCUGUGAUUUUUUUUUUUUUUUUUUUUUUUUUUUUGAGAUGGAGUUUCCCUCUUGUUACCCAGGCUGCUGUGCAGUGGCACGAUCUCCGCUCACUGCAGCCUCUGCCUCCCGGGUUCACACCAUUCUCCUGCCUCAGCCUCCCGAGUAGCUGGGACUGCAGGCACCUGCCACCUCGCCCAGCUGAUUUAUUGUCUUUUUAGUAGAGACAGUUUCACCAUGUUAGCCAGGAUAGUCUCAAUCUCCUGACCUCGUGAUCCGCCCGCCUCAGCUUCCCAAAGUGCUGGGAUUACAGGAGUGAGCCACCAUCCCCGGCCCUGUUUCUGUGAUUAUCUUGCAUUGUCAUUGUCCCCCCAGGCCUGUCUCUUUCACUGUGGCAUGCAUUGUCUAGGGUAGAUGCUUGUUAGAUAUUUUAUGACUUGCUCUCUUUUUCAACAGGACAAAUUGAUGGCCAGGAGAUCACUGCCACCGCCGUGCUGGCCCCCUGGCCUAGGCCACCCCCCAGGAGAUUCAGCCCUCCCAGGAGAAUGUUGCCACCACCGCCUAUGUGGCGCAGGUCUCCCCCACGGAUGAGGAGAAGGUCCCGCUCCCCGAGGCGCAGGUCCCCCGUGCGCCGGAGAUCACGGUCCCCGGGCCGCCGCCGCCACAGGAGUCGCUCCAGCUCCAACUCCUCCCGAUAAACAGGCCACUGAAGUUCUCGCCCCUGUAACUUAUACCCCACCCAACUCAGUUUUGUCACUUUUCUAGCCAAAGGAAGAUCAGUAGGAAAGCAAACCCUUUACUCUGACAGGAUUUGCAGGCAGCAGUCAGCACCCCUCUGCCAGCCAGGCUUUGGCUGCAGAAGUGCUGUUGGUUUGGAUGCUGUGUGCCUGUCAAGAUUCCCUCCGGUUUUCUGGCUAGAAAGCUCACCCGUUUCCAGUUUCUAAGAGUCAGUUCAGUGGCAGAGCCACCAGGGACAAGUGAGGCUCUUGGGGGUGGUUUGACCCUGCUUACCUGGGAGCACACUUUUCCCUUCCCUGAUGAUCUGAGAUGGUGGCCAGGCCAGGCCAUGCCAUUGCUGUCGCUGGGCAGUGUCCUUUUGGAAAGGGAGCCGCCCCAGGUAGCUGCCAACCCUGUUAGGCCCAGCCUCUCGAGGCCUCUUCUGACUUCAAGGGUCACACACCCCCAAAGAUCCUCUCACCCAUGGUAGUUGCGCAUGGUUCUGUCUGUCCGUGCACCCAUGCACACACCCCACCCCACCACUCUACUCUGAAAUUGGUUUGGUGAGUGAGUUGAGAGCCAGCUCUACGGGGUCAUCACGCAGCCAUGGUUGUGCCUGCCCUUCAUGGUGGUCUUUCAGGUUAUCUUGGCAACAUGUACAUUGCUUUUAUUUUUUUUCUUUUUUGCUUUUAUUGUACAGUCAGUACUAUAAAAUUUCUCUUUGAGUUUUAUACCUUUGUAGCAUUUUAGAUGACAUUGUGUUUGUACUUUGUUGUGUAGAGUGAAAGAAUUGUGUUGAAUAAACCCAAGAUUGGAAUGC
Molecule: small RNA, 2241 nt
Filed under: Pongo abelii (Sumatran orangutan)
Lineage: Eukaryota; Metazoa; Chordata; Mammalia; Primates; Hominidae
Description: retained intron
Source: RNAcentral